GUUCAAGAAUGUGGAAUGACCUCCCUCAGGAACAAAGGACCAUCACAAACCUCACCACUUUCCAUUCCAAGUGCAGUGUUCAUUUGUUUGGCCUUGCCAUCUCUAAUAUAAACAUAUAGCAACAGACUUCUGGCUUGGUGAUAUUUAGCCAAGGCAUAAACUUCUGAACAAAGAGAUCUGUGAUAAAAAUUUUGACAGACCUUUGACUAUAACAUCACAAACAGCAGCACUAUAGCAACCUCCGUAGAAGUUCCUGUGCCCACAGAAUUUCAAUACGAUCUCCAUGACUGUCGUAGUAAUGAAAGUAUGCAGAAGAUUAGACUGAUACAGAACAUGCGGUAAACACAGUAUGUGACCUUUUCUUCAUGACCAGAAUGCCUCUGUGACCUCAGCCGAUAGGGAUUCAAGGUGAAAAAGUCAAAGCAGUCAAAAUGUCAGAGAUUACGGUGUUGCUGGCUAAAGGAUAUAAAGCAGGAAACAGUAGACAUUUGGAAACUGUUAAAAGACAGCCCUGAUGAAGAGGGGGGAAAGGCAAGGGUCUGCAAGAAGCUGACAGAAGCCUGGGUCUCCAGGAAAUAGACAGGCCCAACUUAUCCCAGGUACCCUAAGUCCUGAGGAAAAUGCUAAG
This is a long non-coding RNA of Mauremys reevesii (Reeves's turtle), 628 nucleotides long. RefSeq lists it as uncharacterized. The transcript has 4 exons. NCBI's taxonomy places the organism in Eukaryota, Metazoa, Chordata, Testudines, Geoemydidae. The record is from RefSeq and is a predicted model, not a curated record.